CUCCCCUUGCCUAAUGUACAGUAGACAUUUAGAAAAUAUUUGUUGGACAGUGAGGAGUCAGUAGGUAGAAAAUUCCACGUGGACCAUCUACACAUGUUCUCCUGGAUGUUUGCCCCAUGACAGCCCAGAGGAGACAUCAUUUUUCAAUCAUCUCUGCACCUCAACUCUAAUAUUUUAUACAUAAUCCUAUUGCAUGCAGCCUUGAUUCAGGAAUAUUCUAGAGGUGGCACCUGCAAUCAAAGCCUCCUCCUGCUCACUGUCAGUAGUUCAGCUUUCUGUUCUGAGAGCCCAGACUUCCAGGUACUAGUCCUGAAGAAAAUGAAUUCUUCGAAGCUCGCCUGCAGAUUUCUUUUCUUGAGCACUACCCCUUCAUCCCUGCUUCCACAUGUGAGAUCCCCAGGGCUGGGAUAAAGGUGAAGUGAGCAAGUCAUCUAGGACACAACAUUGAAGGGGACACCACUCUCACAGUUUUGCAAAUACCUUCAGCUCCUCACUUGCCUCACCCUGGUCCUGGCCUGGAUGAUCAUAGGUACCUCACCUGGGUUCAUGGUGCAAAGUGUGAACAUUCAGUAUGGUGAACUGAAGAAAAACAAAAAUCGAAUGAGAAAUCAAAAAAGCAGAAUUUUCAUUUUGACUUUAUUACUAACUCAACAUGAUAUCAAGAAAAACCUG
Molecule: long non-coding RNA, 672 nt
Filed under: Homo sapiens (human)
Lineage: Eukaryota; Metazoa; Chordata; Mammalia; Primates; Hominidae
Description: HSALNT0364889
Source: RNAcentral